This 203-nucleotide long non-coding RNA is filed under the name Helianthus annuus (common sunflower). Its description in RNAcentral is "sRNA HanXRQr2_Chr01g0012991". Lineage: Eukaryota; Viridiplantae; Streptophyta; Magnoliopsida; Asterales; Asteraceae. The record is from RNAcentral.
AUGUUGAAGACGCUACAGAUUUUACGUUGACAAGCUUGGAGGGGAUUCUCUUGUGAAUUGUGCAAAGACAAGCAUGUAUUCUUAGUUGUUAUCUGGCAUCUCUUGAGUUUUUUCGCAAAUUGGGUGCAAUACCCCAGGCAGCAAGGUCCGGGGUCAAGCGACAUCACCAUGAACCGCGUGUUAACAGAUGACAUGGAAUUGGA